RNAcentral lists this ribosomal RNA (368 nucleotides) under uncultured organism. RNAcentral describes it as "bacterial SSU rRNA". It matches the Rfam family "Bacterial small subunit ribosomal RNA", at positions 526 to 896 of the family's 1533-position model. The record is from RNAcentral.
CGAAGGAUCCGAAGCGUUGUCCGGAUUUACUGGGUUUAAAGGGAGCGUAGGCGGACUUUUAAGUCAGUGGUGAAAGCUUGCAGCUUAACUGUAAAUUGCCAUUGAAACUGAGAGUCUCGAGUAUGGUUGAGGUAACUGGAAUAUAUCAUGUAGCGGUGAAAUGCUUAGAUAUGAUAUAGAACACCAAUUGCGAAGGCAGGUUACUAAACCAUAACUGACGCUGAGGCUCGAAAGCGUGGGGAUCAAACAGGAUUAGAUACCCUGGUAGUCCACGCCCUAAACGUUGAAUACUCGAUCUUAGCGAUAUACAGUUAGGAUCCAAGCGAAAGCGUUAAGUAUUCCACCUGGGAAGUACGAUCGCAAGAUUG